AGAUCCCCGUAGGAUAAGGGUUAAGCCUACUGGUGCGGAUGGGAUAACUCCCGCCUGGUUUCCAAUUUCCAGUAAAAGAAUUGGUGGCGAGCCUGCAA
Molecule: non-coding RNA, 98 nt
Filed under: unclassified sequences
Description: wcaG RNA
Rfam family: wcaG RNA
Source: RNAcentral